GACGAACGCUGGCGGCGUGCUUAACACAUGCAAGUCGAACGGAAAGGCCCUGCUUUUGUGGGGUGCUCGAGUGGCGAACGGGUGAGUAACACGUGAGUAACCUGCCCUUGACUUUGGGAUAACUUCAGGAAACUAGGGCUAAUACCGGAUAGGAGCUCCUGCUGCAUGGUGGGGGUUGGAAAGUUUCGGCGGUUGGGGAUGGACUCGCGGCUUAUCAGCUUGUUGGUGGGGUAGUGGCUUACCAAGGCUUUGACGGGUAGCCGGCCUGAGAGGGUGACCGGCCACAUUGGGACUGAGAUACGGCCCAGACUCCUACGGGAGGCAGCAGUGGGGAAUAUUGCACAAUGGGCGGAAGCCUGAUGCAGCAACGCCGCGUGCGGGAUGACAGCCUUCGGGUUGUAAACCGCUUUCGCCUGUGACGAAGCGUGAGUGACGGUAAUGGGUAAAGAAGCACCGGCUAACUACGUG
RNAcentral lists this ribosomal RNA (468 nucleotides) under uncultured bacterium. RNAcentral describes it as "partial 16S ribosomal RNA". It matches the Rfam family "Bacterial small subunit ribosomal RNA", at positions 28 to 507 of the family's 1533-position model. The record is from RNAcentral.